CAAUAGCGUAUAUUUAAGUUGUUGCAGUUAAAAAGCUCGUAGUUGGAUUUCGGGUGGGACGCAGCGGUCUCGCAUUGCGUUUGUACUGCUGCAGCCCUCCUUCUUGCCGGGGGCGGCCUCUCGGACUUCACUGUCUGGGGGUCAGAAUCGGCGAUGUUACUUUGAGUAAAGUAGAGUGUUCAAAGCAAGCUUACGCUCUGAAUAUAAUAGCAUGGGAUAACACGACAGGACUCUGGCCUAUCGUGUUGGUCUAUAGGACCAGAGUAAUGAUUAAGAGGGACAGUCGGGGGCAUUCGUAUUCCGUUGUCAGAGGUGAAAUUCUUGGAUUUACGGAAGACGAACAUCUGCGAAAGCAUUUGCCAAGGAUGUUUUCAUUGA
RNAcentral lists this ribosomal RNA (378 nucleotides) under uncultured eukaryote. RNAcentral's name for it is "partial 18S ribosomal RNA". It matches the Rfam family "Eukaryotic small subunit ribosomal RNA", at positions 592 to 976 of the family's 1831-position model. The record is from RNAcentral.